CCUACGGGAGGCAGCAGUGAGGAAUCCUGGACAAUGGGCGAAAGCCUGAUCCGGCCACGCCGCGUGAGUGAUGAAGGUCUUCGGAUCGUAAAGCUCUGUCGUGGGGGAAGAAUAUAUGACUGUACCCCAUAAGAAAGCACCGGCUAACUCCGUGCCAGCAGCCGCGGUAAUAAUCAC
This 177-nucleotide ribosomal RNA is filed under the name uncultured bacterium. RNAcentral describes it as "partial 16S ribosomal RNA". It matches the Rfam family "Bacterial small subunit ribosomal RNA", at positions 338 to 528 of the family's 1533-position model. The record is from RNAcentral.